GACGAACGCUGGCGGCGCGCUUAACACAUGCAAGUCGAGCGAUGAAAUUUCGACAGAUCCCUUCGGGGUGAAGAUGAAAUGGAUUAGCGGCGGACGGGUGAGUAACACGUGAGUAACCUGCCUUUGACAUUGGGAUAGCCUCGGGAAACUGGGAUUAAUACCAAAUGACACUAACUGAUCACAUGAUCAAUUAGUCAAAGAAAUUCGGUCAAAGAUGGACUCGCGGCUGAUUAGCUAGUUGGUGAGGUAACGGCCUACCAAGGCGACGAUCAGUAGCCGGCCUGAGAGGGUGAUCGGCCACAUUGGAACUGAGACACGGUCCAAACUCCUACGGGAGGCAGCAGUGGGGAAUAUUGCACAAUGGGGGAAACCCUGAUGCAGCGACGCCGCGUGAGCGAAGAAGGCCUUCGGGUCGUAAAGCUCUUUUAUGAGGGAAGAUAAUGACGGUACCUCAAGAAAAAGCCCCGGCUAACUACGUG
This 479-nucleotide ribosomal RNA is filed under the name uncultured bacterium. Its description in RNAcentral is "partial 16S ribosomal RNA". It matches the Rfam family "Bacterial small subunit ribosomal RNA", at positions 28 to 507 of the family's 1533-position model. The record is from RNAcentral.